RNAcentral lists this ribosomal RNA (280 nucleotides) under uncultured bacterium. RNAcentral's name for it is "partial 16S ribosomal RNA". It matches the Rfam family "Bacterial small subunit ribosomal RNA", at positions 506 to 784 of the family's 1533-position model. The record is from RNAcentral.
UGCCAGCCGCCGCGGUAAUACGUAGGGAGCAAACGUUGUCCGGAUUUAUUGGGCGUAAAGGGCUCGUAGGCGGUUCAACAAGUCGGUCGUGAAAGCCCGGGGCUCAACCCCGGGAUGCCGGUCGAAACUGUUGUGACUUGAGUUCGGUAGAGGAGAGAGGAAUUCCUGGUGUAGAGGUGAAAUUCGUAGAUAUCAGGAGGAACACCGAUGGCGAAGGCAUCUCUCUGGGCCGGUAUUGACGCUGAGGCGCGAAGGCGUGGGUCGCGAACGGGAUUAGAUA